AUUGAACGCUGGCGGCAGGCCUAACACAUGCAAGUCGAGCGGUAGAGAGAAGCUUGCUUCUAUUGAGAGCGGCGGACGGGUGAGUAAUGCCUAGGAAUCUGCCUGGUAGUGGGGGAUAACGCUCGGAAACGGACGCUAAUACCGCAUACGUCCUACGGGAGAAAGCAGGGGACCUUCGGGCCUUGCGCUAUCAGAUGAGC
Molecule: ribosomal RNA, 200 nt
Filed under: uncultured bacterium
Lineage: Bacteria
Description: partial 16S ribosomal RNA
Rfam family: Bacterial small subunit ribosomal RNA
Source: RNAcentral